CACUAUGUGUGUGAAUUCCUUAAUCUUCUGGGAAAAUUUUAAGUUUACAUUGUAAACCAAAGACCUAACGGUAAGUUCUGAGGCUACUUCUGUCACCCCUAUAAAAUGAUUGUUUAUCAACCAUCUGAUACGUUUCCUUGCCAAACUGCUAAUAGGAGGAAAAGUAGGUUGUGUGUGGUGCUGUGUGUAGUGUUAGGGAGCCAUUGGCAAAUGGUGACUUUUAAUAGACACUUUUAUAAGAAAAAAACAUGUAAAAUGUUAUCUAGCAGAGGAUGACGGCGAAAGACUAAAGAAAAGAAAGGAUACUCAGAGAUGGAAAAACUGUAAAUUCAAUGUCUAGUGCUAACAUAUCAUACGUGAAAAAGAAGUUCAAGGUUCCCCUUAUUUAAGCUGUUCAGGACAAGUAGUGCUGCAGGGGUGGAACACAGGAGGAGAUCUAAAUCUCUCUGCAGGCUCUCUAAGACUUGAAGAGAGCUCUGGAAGGAGGUCCUUGCAAAAAAGUUUUUAAUAAAAAAGGUGGAGAAGUAACUGCUCUAGUCUGGAUUCAGCUCCAGACAAAGCCCGAGUUCCGUGGUGAAUAAAGACAACUGCUCUGGCAGAGCUUUGCAGGUGAUGUGGAAUGGUGUCACCGUCCUGUCACCAUGCUGAGCUGAAAUCUUACACGCUCUGGCUGAUGUGAUCAAAUGAAUGUUUCUUCCACUCGAUUGCUGCUUCUCUGAAAGUAUCGAGCCACAGUAUCUGGGGUGAAUGUAGAAUUUUGCUCAUUAUUAUCACAGAUUAUUAUAUCUCCCGUGCCAGUCACUGGAAACCUGCCUGAAAAGUCAUAGAUCCCCGUGGAGCAACAGCCAGAACCUGGAUCCCAAAAUAUCCCUCAAAAGGCUGCAUGAUGUGCCCUCACGACCCUACUUCAGGGAAGAUGACGGUUACACGCUUGGUGAGGUGAGGUAAGAGCGAUGCCUCAGCCCCAGCGGCGGCCUGGCAGGGCAGCGACUUCUGCAAGUGCUCGGAUGGCGAGAGCUAACCUCGCUGCCUCUCGGCAUCCUCAGGGAGAGGGCAACUGGUGUCAGCUGCACGGAUGCUCAGCGUGGCUUCCCCGAGGAGUGAGAAUAAAACUGCAUUUUUUAGUUAUGGUAAAAGUGUUUACAAAUCCAUGCCCGAGUGGGAGAAAAAAAAAAAAUUGACACAAAUGGGGCCUGGCGUAUGCCAAAUAUAUGAGCUGUUCUAAAAGUA
Molecule: long non-coding RNA, 1230 nt
Organism: Aquila chrysaetos chrysaetos
Lineage: Eukaryota; Metazoa; Chordata; Aves; Accipitriformes; Accipitridae
Exons: 2
Source: RefSeq, a predicted model, not a curated record